This 212-nucleotide ribosomal RNA is filed under the name uncultured bacterium. RNAcentral's name for it is "partial 16S ribosomal RNA". It matches the Rfam family "Bacterial small subunit ribosomal RNA", at positions 524 to 734 of the family's 1533-position model. The record is from RNAcentral.
UACGGAGGAUGCAAGCGUUAUCCGGAAUUAUUGGGCGUAAAGAGCUCGUAGGCGGUCUGUCACGUCGGCUGUGAAAAUCCGAGGCUCAACCUCGGACUUGCAGUGGGUACGGGCAGACUAGAGUGUGGUAGGGGAGACUGGAAUUCCUGGUGUAGCGGUGGAAUGCGCAGAUAUCAGGAGGAACACCGAGUGGCGAAGGCAGGUCUCUGGGC